This 496-nucleotide ribosomal RNA is filed under the name uncultured bacterium. Its description in RNAcentral is "partial 16S ribosomal RNA". It matches the Rfam family "Bacterial small subunit ribosomal RNA", at positions 28 to 507 of the family's 1533-position model. The record is from RNAcentral.
GAUGAACGCUGGCGGCGUGCCUAAUACAUGCAAGUCGAGCGAACAGACGAGGAGCUUGCUCCUCUGACGUUAGCGGCGGACGGGUGAGUAACACGUGGAUAACCUACCUAUAAGACUGGGAUAACUUCGGGAAACCGGAGCUAAUACCGGAUAAUAUAUUGAACCGCAUGGUUCAAUAGUGAAAGACGGUUUGCUGUCACCUAUAGAUGGAUCCGCGCCGCAUUAGCUAGUUGGUAAGGUAACGGCUUACCAAGGCAACGAUGCGUAGCCGACCUGAGAGGGUGAUCGGCCACACUGGAACUGAGACACGGUCCAGACUCCUACGGGAGGCAGCAGUAGGGAAUCUUCCGCAAUGGGCGAAAGCCUGACGGAGCAACGCCGCGUGAGUGAUGAAGGUCUUCGGAUCGUAAAACUCUGUUAUUAGGGAAGAACAAAUGUGUAAGUAACUAUGCACGUCUUGACGGUACCUAAUCAGAAAGCCACGGCUAACUACGUG